AACGAACGCUGGCGGCAUGCCUAACACAUGCAAGUCGAACGAGACCUUCGGGUCUAGUGGCGCACGGGUGCGUAACGCGUGGGAACCUGCCCUUAGGUUCGGAAUAACUCCCCGAAAGGGGUGCUAAUACCGGAUAAUGUCUUCGGACCAAAGAUUUAUCGACUUUGGAUGGGCCCGCGUUGGUUUAGCUAGUUGGUAGGGUAAAAGCCUACCAAGGCGACGAUACAUAGCUGGUCUGAGAGGAUGAUCAGCCACACUGGGACUGAGACACGGCGCAGAAUACUACGGGAGGCAGCAGUGGGGAAUAUUGGAAAAUGGGCGAAAGCAUGAUCCAGCAAUGCCGCGUGAGUGAUGAAGGCCUUAGGGUUGUAAAGCUCUUUUACCCGGGAUGAUAAUGACAGUACCGGGAGAAUAAGCUCCGGCUAACUCCGUG
Molecule: ribosomal RNA, 433 nt
Filed under: uncultured bacterium
Lineage: Bacteria
Description: partial 16S ribosomal RNA
Rfam family: Bacterial small subunit ribosomal RNA
Source: RNAcentral